AAAUAUGAAUUGUCUCCUAAAAGAAUAAGCCAAAAAUGUGAAAAGGAUGAAGACUAGCUGUUCCAGAAUUUUCCAUAUCUCUUUAAGAAGGCCCUACAGACCUCAAAGUUCUGAUCUGUGACAUGAUGUCAGUGUUCUAUAGGUUUUUAACAAUAAGUCAUCUGAUGUAACCUGGUAACAAUGAGCAAGAGAAUCAUUCAGAGUUCCAUGGCCCCAGCAUAUAUGAUGGCACCUCCUAUAACUUCAGUUUACUGGGGUCCAAAACCAGUUAGAUCCAGGAUCUGUUGUUUUAGAUGUCCAAGCAAGUCC
RNAcentral lists this long non-coding RNA (309 nucleotides) under Monodelphis domestica (gray short-tailed opossum). Its description in RNAcentral is "lncRNA (ENSMODG00000034071.2)". The record is from RNAcentral. Lineage: Eukaryota; Metazoa; Chordata; Mammalia; Didelphimorphia; Didelphidae.